Molecule: long non-coding RNA, 671 nt
Filed under: Salmo salar (Atlantic salmon)
Lineage: Eukaryota; Metazoa; Chordata; Actinopteri; Salmoniformes; Salmonidae
Description: lncRNA (ENSSSAG00000104060.1, ENSSSAG00075067759.1)
Source: RNAcentral
UGUAGAAUGUGGCAUAAAGGAAAUGACCUCUACUAAUAAAUUACUACUAGAUUAUAGGGAUAAGGAAAACAGCAUACAAGUUUGGCUUGUGUAUUCAUUUGCCUAUAACUAAUCAUAAUUCCAUUAUGUUUACAUAAAAAGGAGAAUACUUCAAAAUGAGAAGAUCCUGCCAUGGAAAAGACGACUGGGCGGACAUAAAGUGGAAAGGAGGGGAAAUAACUCACACCAUGCAGCAGGUCACCUUCAGCUGUGGGGUCUUUGCAAUGCAGACGGCCAAGGACGUUGCACAGAACUUCCCCAACAUCCCCUCCCAAAUUGAUACAGGACCUUCACAAAAACACAUGGAGCAACUGCGAAAAGAAAUGGCUGAGGAUAUACUAAAAAUGUCUGAGUUCAACAAAGCCAACAACUGCUUCAUGUGAGCCACUGAUAAAGAACCUGGAUGUGGCCCAAAGACUGACUGGGAAUGAAGACAAAAGAGUUCAACAGAGUAAAGAACACAAACAGGAAGUGCUGUCUUUGUUGUUGAAAAUGUCUGCUAUACCCCAUCCACACUGAAGAGGCUCUGAAAUGUACAUCAACCAGGGAUAAAGAGAAAGUUAACGCUGUGAAAUGUUUCAUACUUAAUUGAAGUUAAGUGUCUGUUGACAUGUUGGAAAAGAUUAAAGGUC